Myotis lucifugus (little brown bat) is the source of this 73-nucleotide non-coding RNA. The record is from Rfam. Lineage: Eukaryota; Metazoa; Chordata; Mammalia; Chiroptera; Vespertilionidae.
GCCGUUUUGGCUCAGUGGAUAGAGCAUUGGCCUGAGGACCAAAGGGUCCUGGGUUCGAUUCCAGUCAAGGGCA